RNAcentral lists this ribosomal RNA (432 nucleotides) under uncultured bacterium. Its description in RNAcentral is "bacterial SSU rRNA". It matches the Rfam family "Bacterial small subunit ribosomal RNA", at positions 355 to 793 of the family's 1533-position model. The record is from RNAcentral.
UGAGGGAUAUUGCGCAAUGGGGGAAACCCUGACGCAGCGACGCCGCGUGGGCGAUGAAGGCUUUCGGGUCGUAAAGCCCUUUUCCCACUGAGGAGAACGGACAGUAGGUGGGGAAUAAGUCUCGGCUAACUACGUGCCAGCAGCCGCGGUAAAACGUAGGAGGCGAGCGUUAUCCGGAGUUACUGGGCGUAAAGCGCGUGCAGGCGGUUCGGUAAGUGGCGGGUGAAAGCGCCUGGCUCAACCAGGCGAGUGCCGGUCAGACUGCUGGACUGGAAUGUCGGAGAGGGACGCGGAAUUCCGGGUGUAGCGGUGAAAUGGUGCAGAGAUCCGGAGGAAACACCAAGCGCCGAAAAGGGGGCGUCCUGGACGACGAAAUUGACGCUGAGACGCGACCAGGCUGGGGGAGCGAACGGGGAUUAGAGACCCUUGUAG